GACGAACGCUGGCGGCGUGCUUAACACAUGCAAGUCGAACGGAAAGGCCCUGCUUUUGUGGGGUGCUCGAGUGGCGAACGGGUGAGUAACACGUGAGUAACCCGCCCUUGACUUUGGGAUAACUUCAGGAAACUGGGGCUAAUACCGGAUAGGAGCUCCUGCUGCAUGGUGGGGGUUGGAAAGUUUCGGCGGUUGGGGAUGGACUCGCGGCUUAUCAGCUUGUUGGUGGGGUAGUGGCUUACCAAGGCUUUGACGGGUAGCCGGCCUGAGAGGGUGACCGGCCACAUUGGGACUGAGAUACGGCCCAGACUCCUACGGGAGGCAGCAGUGGGGAAUAUUGCACAAUGGGCGGAAGCCUGAUGCAACAACGCCGCGUGCGGGAUGACGGCCUUCGGGUUGUAAACCGCUUUCGCCUGUGACGAAGCGUGAGUGACGGUAAUGGGUAAAGAAGCACCGGCUAACUACGUG
RNAcentral lists this ribosomal RNA (468 nucleotides) under uncultured bacterium. Its description in RNAcentral is "partial 16S ribosomal RNA". It matches the Rfam family "Bacterial small subunit ribosomal RNA", at positions 28 to 507 of the family's 1533-position model. The record is from RNAcentral.